Long non-coding RNA from Equus asinus (donkey), 2013 nucleotides. Lineage: Eukaryota; Metazoa; Chordata; Mammalia; Perissodactyla; Equidae. The record is from Ensembl.
UCCUCCGCUUCCUUCCUUUGCCCCCACGCCUUCCUUCUCUCCUUCUUCGGGACCCAUGCUGCGCCCCUGCCCAUCGCCCUUGCUCUCCUGCUCCCAGUGGGCCAGGUCGGGAUCCACCCCGCUCUGCCCUCUUGCCCUCUUGGGCACGGUCCCCUCACAACACCCACAUGCAGACUUUGAGACGCUCCUCUCGGUCUCCAGCCCUUUCUGCCUUGCCCUCUCUCUGUUGUCCCUUGGCUCCAGCCCGCAGGGCAAGAGCCCCCACCUCCCAGCCCCCACUGUCCCACCCCUCGCUCUCUCCCUCCGCGCCCCUUGGCUGACAACGUCAUCUUCUGCGACCCGACCUGUGACCCCGCGCUGGUUUGAAGGUCCCCGUCUAUCCGUGCUUGCCUCUGCGGGCUCCUCCCGCCACGUGCUAGACUACCUCCAUUCCUCUCCGGGUCCCCGUCUAUCCGUGCUUGCCUCUGCGGGCUCCUCCCGCCCCGUGCUAGACUACCUCCAUUCCUCUCCGGGUCCCCUGAAAUAGCAGAAGCAGGCAUUUGGCGAUCUUUGCGAACUCUCACCUCCGCCUUGCUUCCUACCUGCUCCUCUGCCAUUUCUAAGCGUGCCUGCCAUCCACACGCUGGACUCCAUGCUCGUGAGUCCAUCCCGAAGGCCCUGACGUGCUUCCUGAGCGGGGUGCCUCGUAACUGCCAGCCUGCCCCGUUUCCUCUGUGUCACUACAGCCACUGUAUCCCCUUUCCGCACCUGUUCCCCAGGGGUCCGGCUCUUCACACCCCCCGGGCCGUGAGUCCUGCCUCCGCGCUCCCGCCCUGCUCCUGCCACGUGGCCUCCAUUCCUCCCCUGCCAAGCCCCUUGCCCAGACAUCGGCCCAUGUCCCAACACCGCACGCUCUUCAGGCUGGCUUCCCCUUUUCCCACCCGGAGUCCCCCGCACGUUCACGAGGUUCCCUCCCCUCUUCAGUCCCGCCUGCCCCUGUCUCUUCCCAUCGGCUAUCCUGACCCCCCACCCACAGCCCGCAGACCACCUGCUCACGGCUGCCCGAGACUCCACUAUCGCCCUCUGCGCACGUCCCUGCUGUGCGGAUUUCAACCCUUCUUGGCCCAUCCUCCUCUUUUUCUCCCACUGUCGUCUCUGAGAGACCCUCGCGUCCUCUUCAGCCACCGUCCUACUCGCCCUCGUAGCUGUCGGGCCCGUGAGGCAGCCACCGUCUUCUCCCAGCAACUUGUGCCCUGGAUGCCCUGCCCUCAUGCUCCCCGCCUUGCCCUCCUCAUCGCCAACGUGCUGUGCCGAAUCCAUCUGCUCUCCCGGUUCGCUCCCAAGGCCCCUACCGUUUUAGCUGCCACCGUUUUUGAGACGGUCACUCCUCCUCUGGGCGUCUCUCUGACCUUUCCCGUCUCCCCGUGCCCCACACUGACAGGGCUGUCUCCAGCACCUUCCAGGCCACUACCACCACCGCCUCAUCCUCCUCCGUUCUCCUCCCUCCCGCCUCUCCUGCGUUCCUUGAUUCCUCGCCCACGCUGUGCUCUGCUCCCGGGUGCGCUUCCUCGGGGCCCUGGUCCACUCACGGGAACACACUUCCUUGAUUCUCCACGUCCAGCCCUUCCUUCGGGCCCUCCGCCGGCCCUCGUGGCCCGGCACGUCCCUGGUCCUCUGUGCAAGCCUCUCCUGUCCCCAGCGGUCAGGCGCCACGGCCUGCCCCUCUCCCGCUUCCGGCCGGCUGGACCGCCUCUCCUCGACCCUACUCUCCCACGUCUUGCACGCUGCUCCCCUCACCUCCUGCCUCCAGGGCCCCAUUUCCUUGCCUCUCCUCUCUGCUCCUCACCUGCCUACACAGCAACGGGACGGGACUGUCCUACCGGAGCCCGCGAACGUUCUUUCAGCUACCCUCUGUGACUCUUCCAGCGGGCCUCAGGACUUGGCGCUGCUGUGUGCUCCAUGCUUAGUCCCUCGCCCCCGGCUCAACCCACUUCGGCCGGUCGUCUUCGCCUCGCACACAACGUACUGAAUGAG